CAGGGAAGGGAAGCCUCCGCCGAGGUGGCUUCCGAGGGACGCCAUCAAGUUGUUGCCAUGCUCUGCGCUUCCACCGCCGCCGCCGGUGACGUUGAACUGGUCUUGGAUGACAAGGCGCGCGUCCUGGCUGCCGGACGUGCCACCAUUGUUGCCAGCUGAGAAGAACCCAAGGUUCAGGAGGCUGUUGUUACCGUUGGCGACGGCGGCGUUGCUGCUGCCCGGCCCCGGCUGGUGGUGCUGCUCGGGAAGUUGCAUUAGGCCAUGGAAGGGCGCCUUGCCGUGCAGCAGAGGGCCCUGGCUGCCUUGGGAGCCGUCCUCGGAGAAAUCCUGGGCGGCAGGAGGAGCGCCGCCGCCGAGGAAGUAGGAUGGCGAGGAGGCCGACGCCUGAGAGCGGAACAUGGAGCUGGAGCCCGAGGACGAUGGCAUGAUGUGGUCAAACUGCGCGGCUGCAGCUGAAGAGGACUGGCCGGCUUGGUCUGCAAAGCCAUGCAUCUGGGCGACGGUGCCGGAGAGCCCGAGGCUCAUGCUGCCGGGGCCGGCGUAGAGGCCGGCGCCCAGGGGCGGCAUCUGCGCGCUCUCACGAGCCAGCGCGUCGCAGAAGGCGCGGUGGGUGAUGAAGCUGUCCCUCCUGCACGCAUGCACAGUUGCACACACAUGGAAGAGUUAUUUUUUUUUAAAAAAAAGCUAAGACGGAAGAGUUAAAAUCUAAAGAAUAUACACAUAUAAUGAAGUGUAGAGUACAUACAUACAGGCAUACAACAUUAGCUUAAUUGCCAAACUUUGCAAUGAUAUCUUAGCUAUAUUUCAUAAAAAUAUUCAAGUCGUUUAUGAAUAAAUAAUAGAACAUAAAAACCGAUUUAAAAUUAAAUGCCAAGAUAGACACUCGUCCAAAUCAAAAUUAGAUGUUUUAGGCUGUUUAUUUGGGUUUGCAAAUAUACAUGUUGUUUUUCUGUAGGCAAUAUAUAUAUUGUGCCUGCCAACAUUUCGUGGACGUGGUUCCAAAAAAAAACUUGACCAUGUUAAUAUCAUUCGCUUAAGUAAUUGGCAAUAUAUAUGUAGGUAUGACUUACUCCCUCCAUUCUGAAAUAUAAGCUAAUAUAUUGAAAAUUUGUGUCGAACUAUACGGGUUCUGGAUGAAUAACCCUCAAGCUCAGUUUCAAAAGGUAUCACUCACAUGCAUACCUACCAUUGAUGGCUAUCGCCAACACAAAUAUCUCUCCACAGUUAAGGUAGGGUUAAUUCCGGCCAUUUGCUUUACCUCAUAAUAUGUCCUAAAUUUUCUAGGAUGUCUUUAUUUUAGACAGAUUCGAGUAUAUGGGAAGAUUAUGCAAAAAUAAGAACAAGAUAUUAACGUUUUCUUAAUUCCAUAUGCAUGAUGCUAAAAUAACAAGUACAAGCAACCCAAAACUCAAUUCAAAAGAACAACAUUCAUAUGCAUACCUACCAUUAGCAUCAUCUAUCACCAAUCUAAAUAUGACAACCAUAAGAUCUUCCCGAUUAAGGGGGCGUUACGUGCAUCAUUUGCUUUGCUUUCCGCAUAAUAUGUCCUAGAAUUCUUAAGGUACAUUAUAUUUCAAGACAGAGGUAGUUUUAGACUAAAGAGUAUUAGGAAUAGUAUGUGGUAUAUACUCUCUCUGGCCUCACAAAAACUUAUAUCUUUUAGGACAAGGUUUAGUGAACAAUGAAAAAAAAUACAAACACUAGUAUCUAUACAUGACAUUAUUUAGUUUGGAAACAUGUAAACUAUUAUGUAUAUUCAUAUUUAAAAACUUGCAAAGUCUCUUAAAUUUGAAGGAUUUUAAAAAAUAUUUUCUAGAAAAAAUUAGCUGUCAAAGAUAAGCAUUAAAGAUAGUGUAAAGUCAAGUGUGCCAGAUAUUUUUGACCAGAGUUAGUAUAGUAACCAGCAAUUUACCAGCACAACCUUUUUUCUAAUUAAAGAUUCAUACAAAAAUAAUAAGAUAUUUAAUAUUAAAUCAGUAAUAUGUAGCCGAUCACUACCCCUUUUUCUAGCAGGAAGUCUACUUAUUUAUGGAGUGACAAUUCUUCAAGUGACAGGAAGCUUAUUUAAGGAGCAGAAAUUUUUUAACAAUGAUGUGUGCUAGCUCAUUUAAUUAGUGAUGAGUCAAAUGUUAUCAAUUCUUGAAUGUACUGAAUGGAGUGAUAAUUACUGGAGCAAUGUUGUACAGGUAGAAUACUAGAAUGAGCGUAAACCGUUGCCAGCACAACAUUUGACUGGCCGUGCAAACCAACAUCAUUCUUGAAUUUCACAGAAACGAGAAUCAAGAAAUCAGCACAAUAUUUCUCCGAUAAACGACAGAGAAAUCAGCCCACAAGUGAGUUUAAUGCAGCUAUAUAUAUGCACUACACUACAGCACAUACCAAGAGAAACGUCCAUGUACUGUACGUACGUACAACAGAUGCACACCAGCUGUAGUACAGAAAAUACAGGCCUGUACGUGACUAGUAAAACGAGCGGCAAGGGAACGAAACAAAAACAAUUAACCGGAGCCGCCAGACGACGGGUCGAAGCCAGCCAGCCGGCACCGCGGCAGAGCGCGUGCGCGCCCAGUUCUGGCAAGUCUCGCCAUGCAUGCAUCAAGCUCGUGAACAGGUGGGGAUGCAAGCAAUGCAAACUUGCGCGGAGAGAGAGAGAGAGACAGAGAGAGAGAGAGAGAGAGAGAGACAGUCAGUGAGUUUGCAGUCGCGCGCGGGGCGUGGAUUACGAGGUGAAAAGAGGAACUGCCGUCAAAUGACCACCAUGUCAGGAAGAGUGCUGCGCGCAUAUCUCCAGUCCCCUCCCGACAAGAGAAACUCACGUGGGAGCAGCUCCUCCUCCUCCAGUCCUCCUGAGCCUCGCUUUCUCUCAGUCCCUCUCUCUCUCUCUCAGUCUCUCUCUCUCUCUCUCUCUCCCCAGCAGCUAGCCCCAGCGAAGGAAUCCUAAACCCGCAAGCUACACACACGGACACACCACACCAGCACAGCAUCUUUGUUACUGACAGCCCAAACCCUAACGCAUCACAUCAUCGACCGCCUCGCAACUCAUCAUCACACAAUCAUGGACGCAAAAAAGAAUUCGUAAAGAAAUGGAGGACAGAAAAACACGGCAACCAAAAAGCUAUAGAGAAUCGAUCCACAAUUCCAAUGCAAGCACGCAGCUCAUGCGCGCCGGGCCGGCCCCGCACGCCGGCGGUCGGGAACGGAGCGGCCGGCCGGUGGAAAGAACGUACGAAUAAAGAGGAACCGGAUCGGACGGACCUGGAGAAGAGGGUGCCGCAGUCGCAGCGGUACUCGCGGGUGCCGCAGGUCUUGGAGUGCGCCUUCCAGUCGGACUGCACGGCGUAGCGCUUGUUGCACUUGUCGCACUUCCACUUCUUCUCGCCGUGCUUGCGGCAGUAGUGCUUCUUGAUCCCCGUGAGGUCGCCCAGCGCCCGGGACGGGUCGUGGUGCACGCACGUCGGCUCCGGGCACAGGUACACCCGCCGCCGCACGUCCUUGGGGUUCUUCUGCUUCAGCUUCCACGGCAGGUUGUGGCCCCGCCGGUGCAGCUGCAGGUUCUGCUCCCGCUGGAACCCCUUGUUGCACACCUCGCACACGAACCGGUUCGUCGCCAGCAGCGUCCGCGGCGACAGCGCGAUCACCUCCGCGUCAGGAUCUGUACAUGUAUGUAUAUAUGCGCACGACGAUCGAUCAUCGAUCGAUCGAUCGAUCAGACAAACAAAAGAAAUAGAGUUAAUCAUCUCGUCGAUCGAUCAGAUCGAUCGUUCAACACACAAAUAAUCACAAGUGGUAUAUAUAUAGUUAGCUAGGGCCAGGAGGACUUGCUUGGGUUGCCUGGCUGGUUCCUCUUCUUCUUGGGCGGCGGCGCCGCGACAUCGGGAGCGGCAGUGGAGUUUUGCUGCAGAGAGGAGGAACCGGCCUGUGGCUGCAUCUGCGUGUCGGCGAGCCCAAAGAAGGGCGCGGACGAGGCGGCCGCCAUCUCUCGGAAGGAAAGAAAACACGCGCGGACCGGCCGCCGCAGCUAGCUCCUCCUUUGGCGCACUCGGUCGAUCACAGCAGGCGGAGGCGGCUGCGUGACUGGCAGCUUCCUCCGUCCGUCGUUGGACUCUACUAGCUCUCAGGUGACCGACGACCAGUCCGAGUCAGAGAGAGGCGACGACAUGGCAGGCAGGCGGCGCCGUGUAUCUAUCUGCCUGGAUUCCGGCGUCUUGCGAGCGAGAGAUCUGGUGGCCUGGUGAUCUAAAGAGACAAAGAGGAGAGCAAGAAAAGAAAACCAUAGAAGAGAACACAGCGUGUGAGAACAAAGAGAUAAUAAAUAUGAUGACCAAGAUUUAGCAGUGUAGCAAAGCAAGGAAGCCAAGAGGAUGGAUGGAUCGGAUGGGUGGAUAAAUCUGUGCGUAUGUGCGCCACAACAUGCCACACCGAACCAAAUAGACCACCCAUCGUAUAUCCAUCCCUUCCCCGUGCAAGCAAACAAAGCAAGGGAGAUGACAAACAGGUUGCACUCACACACGCACACGCCCGCAAGAAACCAAAGAACGAAAUCAAACCCGGCCGUGCCAACAAGCUCAGAUCAGAAGCGGCUGGAGAGGAAAAUGGCUCAAACGAGCAAAGCAACAGACUAUCGAUACAGAUAAUAGCUAGACCUAGAAAGAGAGAGAUUGGGGAAAGGCAAUAGUCUAGUAGCGCUUUGUUGAAUCGGAUCGGAGCAGAUGGGCUCUCCGUCGUCGUCCGCAACAAACGCUCCAAAACAACGAGAGAAUAAUCGGGCACCCGACAGGAUUCGAUUAAAAUAGCGCAACCAAGAUGAUGAACACCGAGAAAACGCCGAGGAAUUUGCGCGAGAAUCGAACGAAACCAAGCUAGCAAACAGGAGGAACAGGCGAGCCCUACCGCUUGUUGCUUUCCUCCUCCGCGCGGCCCUCCCAGUCUAGGAUAUCUCCCGCGGCCCCCGACCGCAGCAGCAAUAGUAGUGGUGGUGUGGGAGUGGUUGCGCAGCGGCAGCGCUGCCUGCUUCUCUCCCUAAUAUAUGCACGGCCGGGGGCCUGGCGGGUCGAGACGAGAGAGAGAGAGAGAGAGAGAGAGAGAGAGAGAGCGACCGGCAGGUGGAGUGGUCGCACGGCCCACGCGGCGCGUGGGGGCCACUGGAGCCCACACAGGUCUCUCGCACCGAUGGUGAUGCAAGCGUAGACCGAUCAGGGGGCGCCCGUUCUGUUUCUCAUUCUCCCCGGCCGAGACCACGAGACGACGGCGUGCGUACAAUGCAUACCAGCACGCACCGCCUACGAACAUUUCCCCUGACUUCCCGUGGGUAACAGUAGCAGAGCACGCAGCAAACACCAGGCCGCCGGCCGCCUGGCUGGUCUGGUCCUCUCUCUCUCUCUCUUCACGUGGACUACCCUUCAGACCGUCACCCUUUGUUCUGUAGCAUUUAGCUACUUCCCAAUGUUCCCUAGCAAAACUUUCGACGUGCCUCACAUGUAUACAUGAUAGAUCCUCUUUCCCUUAUAUAGUUACGCCGUGUUUGGUAGUGCUCCAUGACUCAUGUAACGAAACACUCUCCCGUUAAACCGUUGCGCUCUAGAAAAUAAACACGCUAAGAGGAGCACGAACAGGGAGGAGGAGCCAAAAAAAAAAAGAAGGUUUGCUUAGCUCACCGUUGCUCGGUUGCUCCCGUGGAGUCAGCGUGCGCAUCAGCUAAGCACGGAGUGAGGCGCGUCAGCACAUCAUAGGACAUAGCUUUGUAUGGUGUUACAUUUAAGUCAUAGAAACCGAAAAUUAUGCCAUGUUUCACAAUUUACGACACACAUGACAAAGAUCCCAUUUGUUGCCUAUUCCUCGUAGCUAAAGGUGUUCUACGACAAAAUUGAUAUUCUCGUCUUAAUUUCGCGUGGAAUAUAUCCAUCAGGCAUUCACCAUUUGUUCCGUAGCAUCUAGCUACCCCAAAUGUUUCCUAGCAAAACUUUUGAAGUGCCUCGUAUGUAUAUGAUAAAUCCUCCCCUUAUGUAGUUACACCACGUUUGGUAACGCUCUCCACGACUCCAGUAAGGAAACACUCUCCUGUUGAACCGUUGCGCAACUAAAGUUUUAGAAAAUAAAUGCACUACGAGGAGCACGGAAAGGGAGCUGGUGCCAAAAAAGAAAGCUUUGCUUAGCUCCCAGUCGCUCGGUCGCACCCGUGGGCUCAGUGUGCGCGUCAGCUAAUCACGGAGUGGGGCGCAUCAUGGCAUCACAGACAAGAGACAACCUUUUAUGGCAUUACAUUUAAGUCGUGGAAACUGAAAAUUAUGCCAUGUUUCACAAUUUACGAUGCACACACGACAAAGAUCCCAUUCAUCAUCUCCUAUUGUUCCCUGUAGGGUUUAAGGUGUUCUAAGACAAAAUUAAUAUUCUCAUCUUAAUUUCACAUGGACUAUAUCCUUUAGGUUUUCACCCCUUUGUUCUGUAGAAUUUAGCUUCCUCCAAAUGUUCCCUAAUCCCUAGCAAAACUUUUGAUGUGCCUCUUAUGUAUACGACAAAUCCUUCCCUUAUAUAGUUAUGCUAUGUUUCGUAACACUCCACAAGAAGCUCCACGACUCUGGUAACGAAACGCUCUCCCUUUGAACCAUUAUGCAAGUAAAGGUCCAAAAAAUAAAAGCACUAAGAGGACCACAAACAGGGAGCUGAAGCCAAAAAAAGGAAGGUUUGAUUAUCUCCUUGUUGCUCGGUCGCUCCCGUGGACUUAGCAUGCGCAUCAGCUAAGCACAGAGUGGGCGCACAUCAGCACAUCACAAGACAACAAAUAUAGCCUUCUAUGGUGUUACAUUUAAGUUGUAGAAACUAAAAAUUAUGUUACAUUUAAGAAUUUACGAUGCACACUUUAAGGUGUUCGACGAUAAAAUUAAUAUUCUCAUAUUAAUUUCACGUGGACUAUAUCAUCCUUCAGUCUUCACCCUUUGUUCUGUAGCAUUUAGCUACCUCAAAAUAUUUCCUAGCAAAACUUUCGAUGUGCCUCAUAGGUACAUGACAAAUCCUUUCCUUAUAUAGUUACGCUAGGUUUGGUAACGCUCCAUGAGAAGCUCCUCGACUCCAGUAACGAAAUGUUCUCCUGUUGAACCGUUGCACAAUUCAAGCUCUAGAAAAUAAAUGCACUAAGAAGAGCACGAACAAGGAGCAGGGCCAAAAAAGGAAGGUUUGCUUAGCUCCAUGUCACUUGGUCGCUCCUGUGGGCUCAGCAUUCACAUAAGCUAAGCAUGGAGUGGGGCGCAUCAGUGCAUCACAGGUUUCGAGGGUAGAUACCCAAGGUACCCCACGACACGGCCUACGAAACAAUUUAGGUGGCCCAGCAUUUACAGCGCACCUCGACCACACUUCAUCCCCCAACCACGUAGCACACAGCCACCUCGACCACCUCUGGCCUCGGCCAAAGGAGCACAGAAAGGAUCGAGGGGUGGUCGGUGCAUUAAAUGCACCUACCCUGAUAGGAUGCGCAUGCACCACGCACACUUCUCUAGGACAAAGAAGGACGAUCAUCCAACAGACCGUAGGACCUUGGCAUGCACCAACCACCCUUUGGACCACAAGGUCCUAGGGUGGAGCAUCAUCUCUCAAACCAAUCCCUCGCAGAGUCAAGGACUACACCAUGAUAGGGUGACAUCACAUCAUGGCUUUAGAUCGCCUAACCUCUGCUUGACUCAACGGGGAGGCGUAGGGCCGUGCUUACGAUGGGCAUGGGCCUCACGGCUGCGAGCCGACUUCCCUAGAACCAACCAAAAUGAAGAUUCCUCAACUCAACCACAUAUGGUCUGAGACAACGCUACCGCGGCCAAGAGGGUGGGUGGCUUGUAGAGGAUGCCCACCCCAUUCGCAUACUAGCGCCACGAUGCUCCCCUGGGAUAACGGGCGCAAGGGCAAAAGCCAUGACGUGCACUAUGCGCCCACGUUGCACAGGACAGUAGGUGAACAAGAAGCACAACCCGCACUGUGCCACCAUGGCACGCCAUACCUUGACGUAGGGAACAAUAAUCGAUGAUGAUACCCGGACAUGCAAUAGAAGCAGGGACAAGACGUAGAGGGCCCACCGACCAAGCUCGCCAACCUCUCUCACCCCUCAGGCUUUUGACCACUCGGGUCGAAAGAGCACUCUUCCCUUACUCUAGAUAGGAUCUGAACUAUCCUGGUUCCUCUCACUCUCUCAUCCAUGCUUAUGAGCGCCCCUGCUGUAAGCCUUCAGAGCACUUGAACCAAGGAACACGAAGUUGGACCCCUAUGAGCUGGACGUAGGGCUCUGUCCCCAACCAGUAUUCUCAAGUGCCACCAUAUAUUUCCUUGAGUGACGUCGCGCUAGAUUUACUGAUUGGUCCACGAAACACUAAAAAAAACAAAUAUAACCUUCUAUGGUGUUACAAUUUUGUGUGUGUGCAACAUAAAUUGUGAAAAAUGACCCGUAGCGAAAGGUGUUAUGUGACAAUUAAUAUUCUCAUCUUAAUUUCAUAUGGAGUAUAUCCUUCAAGCCUUCACCCUUUGUUCUGUAGCAUUUAUCCGAAUGUUCCCUAGCAAAACUAUCGAUUGUGCCUCACAUGUACACGUAAUCCUUCCCUUAUAUAGUUAUGCCACGUUUGGUAUAGCUCUACGAGUAGCUCCAUGACUUCGGUAUGCUCGGCUCCCUCUUGCUCCCAUGGGCCUAGCGUGUGCAUUAGUGCGGGCACAUCAACAUUGCGGAGUGGGGGCGGAUUAGCGCAUCAGUUCGAUUUGCCUUGGAGUAAUGAUAAAAAGAGUAAAAAAUGUUCAAAAACUGAAUUACAAUAUAGAAAACGAAUACAAUCAAUUCGUGAUAUUUUUAUAUUUUUGCAAUUACACAGUACAAAAAUGGUUGAAAAUAGUUGUGAAACUAACUGAAACUGACAAAUUUUUAUGUUUAACAAAAUUCGAAAAUGAUAUUGUAAUAUAGAAAAUGAUAUUAUAUUAUAGAAAACGAAACCGGUCGGUUUAAAAUAUUUCUAUUCCGUUUUCACUCAGGCCUUGGAGAUGCAUCAAAGUGAGGUGCAGGACUGCAGAGGCACUUGGUGGGAGGGGCGAAGGUGGGUCGAGGCCAUUGCAAAGAGACAAAAAGAAAGUAAGAAAAAAUAGAGGGUUAUUACAGACAUCACCAUUUGCAAAACUGUGAGAUGUUGUUUUGCGAAACCUUUUUAUAACCAAAGUAGCCGGAGCCAAAAAGAACUGCUUGAUCAAAAUAGUUGAAGCAGUUUUGGAUGAAGACGGAGCCACUACCGGACAGCAGGGGUUUGCCGUGUGUUUGACGCACACGGCAAAGCCCAAAUUACACACGGCGAAGGCUUUGCCGUGUGUUGCUCACGGCAAAGAACACACGGCGAACUCUUUCACGGUGAACCCUAUUUUUACUCACGGCCAAAUUAUGGGCACACGGCGAAACUUUGCCGUGAGUCAAUCUUGACACACGGCAAAGAAAAGAUAACGAACGGUGGGAGACGGCCUAACGGCAGGGUUUGCCGUGUGUCACCAUGUGGACACACGGCAAAGUCUCAAUGUUUGCCGUGUGCCAGGGUUGGGCACACGGCAAACCCCAACGAAAAACGGCAAAGAAAAGAUAACGAACGGUGGGAGACGGCCUAACGGCAGGGUUUGCCGUGUGUCACCAUGUGGACACACGGCAAAGUCUCAAUGUUUGCCGUGUGCCAGGGUUGGGCACACGGCAAACCCCAACGAAAAAAUUUAAAGUCUUGAACUUUUUUGCGGCCCAUGGGAUUCGAACCCAUGACCUCCCUCUCGCGUUUCUUCACUCUUAGCCACUGCACCAUACUAUGACUUCUGUUUAUAUUGCAUUUCGGUUGCUCAAAUAUUAUAUCAAAUUAUGUGUAAAUUGAUAAUUUGAGGUCCUAAAUGAUUUCAAAUCAAAAAGUUGUCAACUACAAAGUUUCAUAACUUUUUGGGAUCUACAAUUUUCAUUUAGGGAGUUUCUUCAUCCGAGGUCGUUUACAAAAUUUGAAUUUCAAAUUUGAGAAAUUCAAACGUAGUUUUUGCAUGACAAGAUGAUUCCAAAAUAAAAAGUUGUCAACUACAAAGUUUCAUAACUUUUUGAGAUUUACAAAGUUUAUUUAGAGAGUUUUUCCAUCCGAGGUUAUUUUAAAAAUUUAAAAUUUAAAAUUUUCAAUUAAAAUGCUGAAAAUAAUUAAGAAAUAGUAAACAAUUCCGAAAAAUUUCUAAACUUGGACACGACACAACCUAUAUGGUGCAGUGCCUAUAGAAAAAGUUUUAAAAUCAAAUUCAAAUAUAAAAGUCAAAUCUACUCCAACUCAUGCUUCUUCACUCAUAUCUCUAUGGAACUUAUUCGAAGAUUGUCUGGUUUCUAUACAUCAUACAUGACAACUUGUUCAAAAUCUUUCCAAACUUUUUUUAUGGCCUCUAUGUAUGAUAACAUGACAUAUGUAUAAGUUUCAGGAUUUACGGAAUAAAAUAGCAUUUAUUAGAAUUUUUGAAAUGUACCGACACACGUUCCGCGUCGUGUCUCCUAACCACGGCAUUCAAAAGUCAUUUCCGUUUCGAAUGUGUGUUCUCAAACAGGGUUGGGUAACAUGAAUAUUAUUUUUUUGAUAUUUUUUCCAACUAUUUCACUGACUCGUAGUUCAAAUUUGAACGUAACCGGAAAAAUAAAAAUAAAUAAUAUUAAUUGUAAAAAUAUAGCAAACAUGUUUCAAAUUUUAUGAAAUUUGAGUAUGGAGUUACAAAUGGUGAAUGUGUAGAGAAGAAAAAAUUUGGAGGACAAAAACUGAAAAAAAGAUAAAUUGUUUGUCGUGUGUCGCACCCGUGGCACACGGCAAAGUUUGUGUUUGCCGUGUGCCAGCCUCAAGCACACGGCAAACCCAGGCUUUGCCGUGUGCCUAACGGCCGCACACGGCAAACGUUGACGGCUGGAGGUGGGCGUUAGCGUGGGUUAGCUUUUGUGGUGUGCCCUGUUUUUGCCAUGUGUUGCUCACGGCAAAAGUUUGAGUUCGCCGUGUGCCUGGUGUUUGCCGUGUGCAACACACGGUAAAGGACAAAUAUACCGUGUGCCUAGCGUUUGCCGUGUGCUUGGAUUAGACACACGGCAAACUCGACCUUUGCCGUGUGUUGCUCACGGCAAACGGGCGGACACACGGCAAAGGCUGGCUCUCCGGUAGUGAGCUCUACCAAAUGGGAUAUGUUCAUGUGUGUGUGAGACAGUGAGAGAGAGGGCUGAGCUAGUUAGGGACAACAAAGUCAAGCAGUAGGCAAAGCAACAAAUCAUAUUUUUUUUAUGAAACAGGAGGGGUUGAAAAAAAAAACCCUACUGAAAUUUAUUGAAAACAAAACUGUAUAAACUGUACAAGUAAGUUCAAGAAACAAAAAAGUCAAGAAGAAAAUAGCCAAGAUUACACAAACUCCUUGAAAACUGAUUUGCAUGCAUCUCUGUACUGAUCAGAACGUUGUUGGUGUUAGGCAAAAUGGCAUUUAAACUGAACCAGCAGGCCAUAGCAAAAAGGACAAUAAAACAGAAGAUGGUCCAGAUCUUCUUCAACAAUUAGAGUGCAAAAGACACAGUUAUAAUUCGAAAGAUGCAUGUUCCUUCGUCUGAGCAGUGCCCUGGUGCUCAGCCUGUCCUUUAGGACUAACAAAAAAAGAAUUUUCUUUUGUUUUGACAUGUUGAUUUCCAUAGCCAUUUGUAAGUUCUAUGCACAUUAGGAUGACCAAUCAGAUGCUUGUAGGACUUGCUAGAGGAAAAGGUAGGUGAACCCCAUAUAUAGGACCAAACAUUAUUAGCCUGACUUAGCUGCAAAUUCUGAAGAAUAACUGACAGCUCCUAAAACUGAGCAUAGGCUUCAUUAGAAAGUGGCAAAUGAAAGAAAUUCUGGAGAAGUGUACGUAGUAGAGGCUGCCACACAUAUUCAAAGAUAAAUAUGCACUGAUGAUGCGUGCUUCGGUACGUAGAUUUUGGUUGGUGUAUGUAGCUCCUCCUGCGCUGCCUUGAACUCCUGAUCGCCUUGUUUAGUUCCUCAAAAAUUUUGCAAAAUUUUUCAGAUUUCUUGUCAGAUCGAAUCUUUGGACGUAUGCAUGGAGUAUUAAAUAUAGAUGAAAAUAAAAAUUAAUUGCACAGUUUGGUCGGAAUUGACGAGACGAAUCCUUUGAACCUAAUUAGUCCAUAAUUGGAAAAUAUUUGUCAAAUACAAACAAAGUGCUACUAUUCCUAUUUUGCAAAAUUUUUUGGAAGUAAACAAGUCCCUAGCAAAGAGCACAAUCUUGCCUAUAUAUAUAUAUAUGCUUCUGCAUUCCGCACCGCCAGCCCCUUUCAGCUUUGAAAGGAGCACGACCCAGAGAAGAACCCAACAUGAAAUACGACGAGCACCACAUCAUCAUGCAACAACAACACCACAGCAUAUCCAGAAGAACACGAGACAACAAGCAGUAAAGGUCCAAAACAUUGUGCUUAAAUUCUGGUCUGGGUACGGCUCUACAUAAUGAACUCGACAUCAUGGGAGAUCGCCAUCUCCAGCCAAAACAGUACACACUUAAAAACACCACGAAAUUGUAACGAGAAAACGAAACCAACAAGUUUAGCUGCUUUGCACGCAGCCCUGCUAGCCAUAUCAAUCAUGGCAGCAUAUAAAAACGGAAAUUAACUCACGAAAACAGAACUAGUUUAAGUUUACCCGAUCUCUCUGAGAUCGUCACUCACUAGCUUACCGUUCCAUGCAUGCGAAAGCUACCUUUCCCGUGCAUGAUCGUUUAUUCUUGUUGUUCAUUCCCGGUCUGAUCCAUCACAUGAACCAUUUCAUCUGGGUAGGGUCCAGGGCGCCCAUGUUGGGGAGGCCGGCCGUCGGCGCCAUCGCGUCGUCGUCCCUGCCGACGCCGAGGAAGUCUCUCGUGCUCAGAUUGCCGUCGUCCACGCCCGCCAUUCCUGCAGUGCCGGCGAAGCCGUCGGUGCCAGUGCCUCCCAUUAACGGCAGAGAGUUCAUGAUGAGAUCAUGGAAGUGUGCCUCCUGAGUCAUCCCUUCUUCUGCUGCCCUGCUAGUCCCCUGGCCGCUGACGGUGCCGGUGAAGCAGGCUACAGGGAGCAGCGAGCUGGAGCCGGUGUGGGUGGUGGUGCUCGACGUCGAGCCCAUCUGAGCCGCCUUCAUCAGGAGCGCCGUGGCCGAGUUCUGGACCUUGGCGGCCGAUGCAGAUGAGUUGUUGUACAGGGAAGGGAAGCCUCCGCUGAGGUGGCUUCCGACGGACGCCGCCAUCAGGUUGCCAUGCUCUGCGGUGCUUCCACUGCCGCCGCCGGUGACGUUGAACUGG
This 13287-nucleotide long non-coding RNA is filed under the name Sorghum bicolor (sorghum). RNAcentral describes it as "long non-coding RNA (SBIC_LNC003742)". Lineage: Eukaryota; Viridiplantae; Streptophyta; Magnoliopsida; Poales; Poaceae. The record is from RNAcentral.